UGGCGGACGGGUGAGUAACGCGUGGAUAACCUGCCGUAUACUGGGGGAUAACACUUAGAAAUAGGUGCUAAUACCGCAUAAGCGCACAGUCUCGCAUGAGACGGUGUGAAAAACUCCGGUGGUAUACGAUGGAUCCGCGUCUGAUUAGCUUGUUGGCGGGGUAACAGCCCACCAAGGCGACGAUCAGUAGCCGGCCUGAGAGGGUGAACGGCCACAUUGGGACGGAGACACGGCCCAAACUCCUACGGAAGGCAGCAG
This 258-nucleotide ribosomal RNA is filed under the name uncultured bacterium. RNAcentral describes it as "partial 16S ribosomal RNA". It matches the Rfam family "Bacterial small subunit ribosomal RNA", at positions 96 to 354 of the family's 1533-position model. The record is from RNAcentral.